GACGAACGCUGGCGGCGUGCUUAACACAUGCAAGUCGAACGGUGAAGGGACUGGUUUUGCUGGUCCUGGAUGAGUGGCGAACGGGUGAGUAACACGUGAGUAACCUGCCCCCUUCUUCUGGAUAACCGCAUGAAAGUGUGGCUAAUACGGGAUAUUCUGGGUCUGUCGCAUGGUGGGCCUGGGAAAGAUUGCGCCUUUUUUGGUGUUUUUGGUGGGGGAUGGGCUCGCGGCCUAUCAGCUUGUUGGUGGGGUGAUGGCCUACCAAGGCGGUGACGGGUAGCCGGCCUGAGAGGGUGGACGGUCACACUGGGACUGAGACACGGCCCAGACUCCUACGGGAGGCAGCAGUGGGGAAUAUUGCACAAUGGGCGCAAGCCUGAUGCAGCGACGCCGCGUGAGGGAUGGAGGCCUUCGGGUUGUGAACCUCUUUCGCCAGUGAAGCAGGCCUGCCUCUUUUUGUGGGUGGGUCGACGGUAGCUGGAUAAGAAGCGCCGGCUAACUACGUG
RNAcentral lists this ribosomal RNA (506 nucleotides) under uncultured bacterium. RNAcentral's name for it is "partial 16S ribosomal RNA". It matches the Rfam family "Bacterial small subunit ribosomal RNA", at positions 28 to 507 of the family's 1533-position model. The record is from RNAcentral.